AAAGACUACAAUUUCCUGGUUGCAGCUGUGGAAGGACUCUGUAUAUUGCAUUGCCGCACUGUGUGACCACCAGAUCUCUGUCAAAUAUUAUGUGGAAAGGAAAAGCCUUGCAGAAAGUGUAUGGACUGAUGCGAGACUCUUGGGUACCAUUUUCUUCAAAUCUGUCAAGGUCUUCAUAGUAGUCCUCUUCUUUAGAUUCUUUCUCUUCAAUUAAAAAUUGAAUGUGGUCACAUUCCUCAUUCCGCUGUUGAAUAACCUUCAUAUCUAUUUCUGUACCAUGGAUCUGCUGAGCUACUGUUUUGAUGAUUCCAAUGACAAUAUCCUGUAGACCUUCCCUUUCUGAAUAGUAAUGCAGAAUGAGUCCUUUCCCCUUCUCCGCAUCAGUGCAUCUGAAGGAAGGGGCUCGCAUACCUGGGUAAAUAGUAGCAAGGUGGUCAUGCAGAGCAUCCAGGUUCUGCAAAAAUUCUCUGACAUUUGAGCCCAGAACACGCAGAAUUGUAUCAUAGCCAGAUUCUUGGCAGAACACAAAAAACAUCUUCCCAAACAUCUGAAGAAUUUCCCCAGCAUUCAGGUUAAGAACCUUGCUUGCAGCUGCAACCAGAUCAUAGGUUUUGGAAUCAUCAUAUAUUAUUCUGACAAGAAACUGUCCUUCUUCAUCCAGCUGAGCCUCCU
RNAcentral lists this long non-coding RNA (672 nucleotides) under Gallus gallus (chicken). The record is from RNAcentral. Lineage: Eukaryota; Metazoa; Chordata; Aves; Galliformes; Phasianidae.